RNAcentral lists this ribosomal RNA (253 nucleotides) under uncultured bacterium. RNAcentral describes it as "partial 16S ribosomal RNA". It matches the Rfam family "Bacterial small subunit ribosomal RNA", at positions 524 to 776 of the family's 1533-position model. The record is from RNAcentral.
UACGUUGGUGGCAAGCGUUGUCCGGAUUUACUGGGCGUAAUGCGCACGCAGGUGGCCUGUCUAGUCCAGGGUGAAAUCUCCCGGCUCAACCGGGAGAGGUUUCUGGAUACUGGCAGUCUUGAGGGCAGCAGAGGAGAGCAGAAUUCCCGGUGUAGCGGUGAUAUGCGUAGAUAUCGGGAGGAAUACCAGUGGCGAAGGCGGCUCUCUGGGCUGUCCCUGACGCUGAGGUGCGAAAGCGUGGGGAGCAAACCGG